CCUACGGGAGGCAGCAGUGAGGAAUAUUGGUCAAUGGACGCAAGUCUGAACCAGCCAUGCCGCGUGCAGGACGACGGCUCUAUGAGUUGUAAACUGCUUUUGUACGAGGGUAAACUCAGAUACGCGUAUCUUUCUGCACGUAUCGUACGAAUAAGGAUCGGCUAACUCCGUGCCAGCAGCCGCGGUAAUACGGAGGAUUCAAGCGUUAUCCGGAUUUAUUGGGUGUAAAGGGUGCGUAGGCGGUCGGAUAAGUUAGAGGUGAAAGCCCGAGGCUCAACUUCGGAAUUGCAUCUGAUACUGUCAGGCUAGAGUGCAGUUGCGGUAGGCGGAAUGUAUGGUGUAGCGGUGAAAUGCUUAGAGAUCAUACAGAACACCGAUUGCGAAGGCAGCCUACUAAGCUACGUCUGACGUUGAGGCACGAAAGCGUGGGGAGCAAACAGGAUUAGAUACCCGUGUAGUC
This 460-nucleotide ribosomal RNA is filed under the name uncultured bacterium. RNAcentral's name for it is "partial 16S ribosomal RNA". It matches the Rfam family "Bacterial small subunit ribosomal RNA", at positions 338 to 795 of the family's 1533-position model. The record is from RNAcentral.